GAUGAACGCUGGCGGCGUGCCUAAUACAUGCAAGUCGAACGGAAAGGCCUCUUCGGAGGUACUCGAGUGGCGGACGGCUGAGUAACGCGUAGGAAUGUACCCCAAAGUGAGGAAUAACUGCACGAAAGGGUAGCUAAUACCGCAUGUGCUCUAAGGAGUAAAGCUUCGGCGCUUUGGGAACAGCCUGCGUAAGAUUAGCUUGUUGGUGAGGUAAUGGCUCACCAAGGCGACGAUCUUUAGCUGGUCUGAGAGGAUGAUCAGCCAGACUGGGACUGAGACACGGCCCAGACUCCUACGGGAGGCAGCAGUAGGGAAUUUUCCACAAUGGACGAAAGUCUGAUGGAGCAACGCCGCGUGCAGGAUGAAGGCCCUUGGGUUGUAAACUGCUUUUCUAUGUGAAGAAAAUGACGGUAGCAUAUGAAUAAGGAUCGGCUAACUCCGUGCCAGCCGCCGCCGUAA
Molecule: ribosomal RNA, 459 nt
Filed under: uncultured bacterium
Lineage: Bacteria
Description: partial 16S ribosomal RNA
Rfam family: Bacterial small subunit ribosomal RNA
Source: RNAcentral